GAUGAACGCUGGCGGCGUGCCUAAUACAUGCAAGUCGAGCGAACAGACGAGGAGCUUGUUCCUCUGACGUUAGCGGCGGACGGGUGAGUAACACGUGGAUAACCUCACUAUAAGACUGGGAUAACUUCGGGAAACCGGAGCUAAUCCCGGAUAACAUGUUGAACCGCAUGGUUCAACAGGGAAAGACGGUCUUGCUGUCACUUAUAGAUGGAUCCGCGCCGCAUUAGCUAGUUGGUCAGGUAACGGCUUCCCAAGGCAACGAUGCGUAGCCGACGUGAGAGCUUGAUCUGCGCCACUGGAGCGGAGACCUGGUCCAUACUCCUACGGGAGGCAGCAGUAGGAUAUAUUCGGCAAUGGGCGAUAGCCUGACGGAGCAACGCCGCGUGAUUGAAGAAGGUCUUCGGAUCGUAAAAAUCUGUUAUUAGGGAAGAACAAAUGUGUCAGUAACUAUCCUCGUCUUGACGGUACCUAAUCAGAAAGCCACGGCUAACUACGUG
RNAcentral lists this ribosomal RNA (497 nucleotides) under uncultured bacterium. Its description in RNAcentral is "partial 16S ribosomal RNA". It matches the Rfam family "Bacterial small subunit ribosomal RNA", at positions 28 to 507 of the family's 1533-position model. The record is from RNAcentral.